This 256-nucleotide unclassified non-coding RNA is filed under the name plant metagenome. RNAcentral describes it as "partial contains small subunit ribosomal RNA, internal transcribed spacer 1, and 5.8S ribosomal RNA". The stretch from base 1 to 54 matches the Rfam family "Eukaryotic small subunit ribosomal RNA", at positions 1778 to 1831 of the family's 1831-position model. The record is from RNAcentral.
GGAAGUAAAAGUAGUAACAAGGUUUCCGUAGGUGAACCUGCGGAAGGAUCAUUAAAGUUAUAGUCCCCCGGCCCUCUGGGCUGGGGUCUUCUAUACCACCCUUUGUUUAUUACACCUUUGUUGCUUUGGCAGGCCUGCCCUCGGGCUGCUGGCUCCGGCCGGCUCGCGUCUGCCAGAGGACCUAAACUCUGUUUGUAUAUGAAGUCUGAGUACUAUAUAAUAGUUAAAACUUUCAACAACGGAUCUCUUGGUUCUG